AGCCCAUUACUCAGGCGUGUCCCUGGUUGGGUCUGCUGAUGACCCUCAUGAUGAGAUGCCACUCAUGCUUAUGGCAGCAGUAGCAGGACACCACCCAGGGUGGCACACAGAGUCCACCUGUUCAUCCCAGUGAUGCCAAUGUGUCUACUUGGUCGAGGUCCUGUCUGCGGGGUUUUGUGCUGCAAAGCCACGUUCCCUUGUCAUUAGUAACUUGUCCAUGGAAACGGGACCACGUUCAUGCUGUUCCUCACUGCCCUCAUCCACUGCACACUGUGUCCACCAAGGUCAUUGGCUCUGUCCACUUGGGAUGUGAGUGAGGCCUCCCCAUGGCGGCAGGCCAGGACCAGGAGUCCCUGAGUAGCUGAAACUUGUAGGUGCUCCCUGGGCACAGGGCUUCAGGGGCCAAGGUUUGUCUGCCCCACUGGGCAAUUGUCCACCCCCUUAGCAGGACUUCGAGGACAUCCCAGUGGCCACUGGGCACCCAGGGCGCAGGGCAGACACCCCAAACCGCUCCCUUUGUCCCCCAAACCCCUCACUUGGACAGGGGCUCCACUUAGUGGCCUGGCAUGUCUCUGCCAGUGGGUGUGGGGCGUGGCAGGAGGGGGCUGUCAGGGUCUCCACCAGACACUGCUCAGGCCUCCGAAGUGAGUGCCCAGGUGGUGGCUCACCCAGAACUUCUGGGUGGAGGCCUCUUCCCACACUCCACUGUCCCUGGCUGCCCUGCUCCUGGCCUGAGGUCCCUCAGCAGCAGGGAUGGUGUCCUGCCCCCGGGGCCCAGGCCUGGCUUGGCCACGGUGGACCCCAGGAUAUCCUGCGUAAGUGCACGCAGCUGCAUGGGAGGCGCAGCCCCUCGGUCCACAAGGCCUGGAUGCCAGAGGAUAGCACCCAUCUGUCUGUCCCUCCCUUCACUGGGCCUGCUGCCCCAGACCCAUCUAGGUUCCCUGUGACGCUUUUCUGCUCAGAGGCUGGGAGGUCACAGGGCACAGCAGCUUUCCGAGGAUCUCACCCUAUGGAAAGAUUCCUGAACCCAAACCACAGGUCCCCACCAACAGGGCUGUGUCCACAGGCUGUGGUGGGCAGGUCCAGUGGGAAAAACCUGACUUCCUCAUCAGCCAGGGGAUGGCCCCUUCUUGUCCCAGGAGGUGGGAACCAGGCAGCAGAGGCCCACAGCUGGGUCUGGAGAGCAUUUUACUUUUUUUUCUUUUUUAAAAAGUUUAUUUUUGUGAAGACCAUAAGAACAUUUUUAAUUGUUUAUUUUUGAGCCACUUUUUUUUUUCUUUUUUUUCCUGAGACAGAGUCUUGCUCUGUAGCCCAGGCUGGAAUGCGGUGGCACAAUCUCGGCUCACUGCAACCUCCAUUUCCUGAGUUUAAGCAAUUCUGCCUCAGCCUUCCAAGCAGCUGGGAUUACAGGCACAUACCAACAUGCCCAGCUAAUUUUUGUAUUUUCAGUGGAGAGGGGAUUAUCACCAUGUUGGCCAGGCUGGUCUAGAACUCCUGACCUCAGGUGAUCCACCCACUUCAGCCUCCCAAAGUGCUGGGAUUACAGGCAUGAGCCACCGUGCCUGGCCUCAGAAAGGGUUUCUGAUUUACGUUUUCAGGAAAGGGAGAGACAGCUGCUCACCACUAUCCCCGCUUCCAGGCAGCCUCAGAAACCGAGGAGGAAACAUCACGCCUUUGGUGUUUCCCAUCCCUGGAGUGAGGGGCCUCAGGAACUUCACAGCCAGGGCUCGAGUCCGGGCACAGUGACCUCUGGGCAGAAGAGGCUCUCCCUGACCCGCCAGGUUGAUUCCGGGUCAGUUAAUGCCUGGGGAACUUGGUAAGACAUCAUCUCUACAAAAAACACAGAAGUUAGCGGGGCAUGGGGGCGCCUAUAGUCCCAGCUACUCGGGAGGCUGAGGCUGGAGGAUCGCUUCUGCCAGGGAGGUAGAGGCUGCAGUGAGCCGAGAUCGCGCCACUGCACUGCAGCCUGGACGACAGAGGGGGGCCCUGUUUCAAAAACGAAAAAACUGGCCGGGCGCGGUGGCUCACGCCUGUAAUCCCAGCACUUUGGGAGGCCGAGGCGGGCGGAUCAUGAGGUCAGGAGAUGGAGACCAUCCUGGCUAACAAGGUGAAACCCCAUCUCUACUAAAAAAUACAAAAAACUAGCCGGGCGCGGUUGCGGGCGCCUGUAGUCUCAGCUACUCGGGAGGCUGAGGCAGGAGAAUGGCGUGAACCCGGGAGGCGGAGCUUGCAGUGAGCGGAGAUCGCGCCACCGCACUCCAGCCUGGGCGACAGAGCGAGACUCCAUCCCAAAAAAAAAAAAGAAAAAA
Long non-coding RNA from Macaca fascicularis (crab-eating macaque), 2309 nucleotides. The record is from Ensembl. Lineage: Eukaryota; Metazoa; Chordata; Mammalia; Primates; Cercopithecidae.